Roridomyces roridus is the source of this 88-nucleotide non-coding RNA. Lineage: Eukaryota; Fungi; Basidiomycota; Agaricomycetes; Agaricales; Mycenaceae. The record is from the annotation of a GenBank genome assembly.
CACUCGAUAGCGAAAGGCAUCGCGUCUGCUGCGCCUGUUGACUUUAUUAUGUCCGCAGAAGUUGCUCGUUCGAACCGGGCUCGAGUGG